Molecule: long non-coding RNA, 914 nt
Filed under: Homo sapiens (human)
Lineage: Eukaryota; Metazoa; Chordata; Mammalia; Primates; Hominidae
Description: HSALNT0240471
Source: RNAcentral
AAAAAAAAAAAAGCACAUGAAUUACCACAUUGGUAAAUUUGGUUUAUUUGCUUUACAAGUUGUUUUAAUGCAUAGGAAGAUAUUGUUUUUUUAGAGUUGCACGUCUGCCCCCUCAGGCAUUAGAAGUGUUUAGAAAUGUAAUCAAUUAGAUGUUUUAUGCUUAGGCAAAUUUGACUUCUCAAAAGUGAGGUAAUUAAAAAUUAGAUAAUACGUGAAAGUGAUUAUUCUUAUUAUUAUUUUGUUGAGAGACAGUCUUGCUGUUGCCCACGUUGGAGUGCAAUGGCACAAUCUCAGUUCACUGCAACCUCCACCGCCCAGGUUCAAACAAUUCUUCCGCCUCAGCCUCCGGAGUGGGAUUACAGGCGCAGGCCGCCAUUCCCCGCUAAUUUUUUGUAUUUUAGUAAAGAUUGGGUUUCACCGUAUUACCCAGAUUGAUCUCGAACUCUUCAGCUCAGACAAUCCGCUGGCCUCGACCUCCCAAAGUGCUGGUGGGUGCGGAAUUGGUGGGUUCUUGGUCUCACUGACUUAAAGAAUGAAGCUGUGCACCCUCGCGGUGAGUGUCACAGUUCUUAAAAACAGUGUGUGCGGAGUUCGUUCCUUCUGCUGCCUUCUGCUGUUUGGAUGUGUUUGGAGUUUCUUCCUUCUGGUGGGUUUGUGGUUUCGCUGGCUGAGGACUGAAGCUGCGGACCUUCGCGGUGAGUGUUACAGCUCUUAAGGGGGCGCGUGUGGAGUUAUUCAUUCCUCCUGGUGAGUUCAUGGCCUCACUGGCUUCAAGAGUGAAGACGCAGACCUUCCAGAUGAGUGUUACAGCUCAUAAAGGCAAUGUGGACCCAAAGAGAGACAGCAGUAAGAUCUGUACAACCUGAAAACCGUACAACAACAAAUCUUCCACAAUGUGGAAGGUGAUCUCAGCG